Molecule: long non-coding RNA, 1013 nt
Organism: Beta vulgaris subsp. vulgaris (sugar beet)
Lineage: Eukaryota; Viridiplantae; Streptophyta; Magnoliopsida; Caryophyllales; Amaranthaceae
Exons: 2
Source: RefSeq, a predicted model, not a curated record
UUUAGGCUCAUUUUUUCUCAAAUUGGUUACUUAAUUAUGCUCGAACAAGGGUGGAUUUCGUGUUUUAGAGUAAGUUUCGUGGUUUAGGGGUUGUUUUGGGAGUUUUUCGUGUUGAUCAAUGGGAUGGGUGUUAGUAGUUGUGCUAAUUACCUUAAUUUUGUUAAUAUAUUUUCUCUUUCCUGCUUAAUUUUUCUGCUUUAUGCUUUUAUCAAUAUAAUACGUCAUUCCUAGUUUUCUCCCCAAACAGUAAAUGCCCUGAAAACUAUGGAACUGAGGGAGUAUUAUCUGCUAAUAUGUUGUGGAUUGACUAUGUUUUCCAAUCACUUAAUUCUUGUUCUAGAUAGUUGUGUAAACCUACUAGAGGUAGUUUCAAGAAGAGUGUUAUUCGAUGUUGUAGUACAGCCAUGCUAUAUCAUAUUUAGAGCUAAAGAAAUUAAGCGAAGUGGAACCAGAUUGCUGUCUGCAGCCCUGAUAUUUUAGUUCAGAAUGUUAAACACAAUGUAUAUGCUAGAAUUAGCUCUGUAAUGCCUAAAAAUCCAGUUGCAGAGAUAAGGACUGGUUCAAUUGUACUCUGGCUUAGCUGAUUGUAUGUGAGUCUAUUGUCUCUUGGUCUUUGUUGUUGUUUUGCGGGUGUUUCUACAAGUGAUUAGGGCUUUGAUGGUACCCUUUCUACAAGGUGAAUAUAUGUUGCUCAAUGAUGCAUUUGCAACUCUAUGGUUUUGUACAAGAUUGAAUUGCGUUCAAGUUGAAGUUUUAUGUUGAAGAUUCACUGAAGGUUGAAUGUCGGUUGAAGAUGGAAUUUCUACAUAUUUUUUAUUUUUUUAUUUCCUCUUCUAAAAGUUUGUAUCAAUUCGUCAAAAUUGUUAGUAAUAAGAUUAUAUUUCUAGUUUCCUUUAUUAAUUUAUAAUGUUAUUUUUUCUUGUUGACGUAAGAAUGUGCUUGUAACUGUUACUAUACUAAUAACACAGUGUUGGCGCUUACAAGUGUCUAUAUAGUAGCUUCAAAUUGCGGCA